CUAUGUGAUUUGUUAGUCAGAAAUUCCAUCAUGUUUUGUCCCAUCCCUCAGAAAUCUCAGUUCCAAUUUUUUUCCCUCCUCAGAGCUGUCUUGUGCAUAACAAACCCCACAUUGUUCCUGUGUGUUCUCCUGCAUUUAUUUCAUGUCAUCUUCUUGCAGGGAAGAAAAAAACCUAGAGCUUCUCUCACUUAGCACCCUUUGGGACAGCAGCUGUAGAUGAAGAGCAAGCAAUCAACAUGUCAGGAUAAAAUUAGAUUGCCACGGAGUACAAGGUCUCUGGUUAACAGGAACUGUCUCCUGAAGGGAGCCACGAUGAUGUGGGAGGUGUGGCUGGGAUUGCUGUGAGGGUGCUGAGCCAAGAAGGUGUUUGACCCUCGGGCCUCGCAAUUUGUGCCGCGUCGAAUCUUCAGCCGGUGGAACGUCCUGUGGUAUUAUCAGAAAUUCCCUGUCUGAGUCUGCCGAGCUCCUGCUGCUCAGGAUGGGAUGGAUCAGAGUGGAAGGUUGAUAGAAACACGAGCUGGGGCUGUUGUUGACUGGCACCUUCUGUUAGAGCUGCUCUUCCAGUGCUGAGCCUGCUUCCCUGGACUCCUGGAAGGUUCACACCUUGGCAGGAGCUGCUCAGCACAGUUUGGUGAGGUCUCCUCCGUCCCGUGCCAGGCACGUCCCUCCCCACAGGGGGCUUUAA
Molecule: long non-coding RNA, 685 nt
Organism: Myiozetetes cayanensis
Lineage: Eukaryota; Metazoa; Chordata; Aves; Passeriformes; Tyrannidae
Exons: 3
Source: RefSeq, a predicted model, not a curated record